AAAUGAAUAGACGGGGGCCCGCACAAGCAGUGGAGUAUGUGGUUUAAUUCGACGCAACGCGAAGAACCUUACCAAGGCUUGACAUAUACAGGAAUACUAUAGAAAUAUAGUAGCUCUUCGGAGCUUGUAUACAGGUGGUGCAUGGUUGUCGUCAGCUCGUGUCGUGAGAUGUUAGGUUAAGUCCUGCAACGAGCGCAACCCCUAUUUUCAGUUGCCAGCACGUAAUGGUGGGAACUCUGAAGAGACUGCCGGUAAUAAAUCGGAGGAAGGUGGGGAUGACGUCAAAUCAUCAUGCCCUUUAUGUCUUGGGCAACACACGUACUACAAUGGCCGCUACAGAGAGACGCAACACAGUGAUGUGAAGCAAAUCCCUAAAAUCGGUCUCAGUUCGGAUUGAAGUCUGAAAUUCGACUUCAUGAAGUCGGAAUUGCUAGUAAUGGCAGGUCAGCAUACUGCCGUGAAUACGUUCCCGGGCCUUGUACACACCGCCCGU
RNAcentral lists this ribosomal RNA (493 nucleotides) under uncultured bacterium. RNAcentral's name for it is "bacterial SSU rRNA". It matches the Rfam family "Bacterial small subunit ribosomal RNA", at positions 903 to 1397 of the family's 1533-position model. The record is from RNAcentral.